ACAUCAGAGCUUGCUCUGGUUGAUCAGUGGCGAACGGGUGAGUAACACGUGAGUAACCUGCCCUUGACUCUGGGAUAACUCCGGGAAACCGGGGCUAAUACCGGAUACGAGACGCGACCGCAUGGUCGGCGUCUGGAAAGUUUUUCGGUCAAGGAUGGACUCGCGGCCUAUCAGCUUGUUGGUGAGGUAAUGGCUCACCAAGGCGUCGACGGGUAGCCGGCCUGAGAGGGCGACCGGCCACACUGGGACUGAGACACGGCCCAGACUCCUACGGGAGGCAGCAGUGGGGAAUAUUGCACAAUGGGCGAAAGCCUGAUGCAGCGACGCCGCGUGAGGGAUGAAGGCCUUCGGGUUGUAAACCUCUUUCAGUAGGGAAGAAGCGAAAGUGACGGUACCUGCAGAAGAAGCGCCGGCUAACUACGUGCCAGCAGCCGCGGUAAUACGUAGGGCGCAAGCGUUGUCCGGAAUUAUUGGGCGUAAAGAGCUCGUAGGCGGUUUGUCGCGUCUGGUGUGAAAACUCAAGGCUCAACCUUGAGCUUGCAUCGGGUACGGGCAGACUAGAGUGUGGUAGGGGUGACUGGAAUUCCUGGUGUAGCGGUGGAAUGCGCAGAUAUCAGGAGGAACACCGAUGGCGAAGGCAGGUCACUGGGCCACUACUGACGCUGAGGAGCGAAAGCAUGGGGAGCGAACAGGAUUAGUACCCUGGUAGUCCAUGCCGUAAACGUUGGGCACUAGGUGUGGGGCUCAUUCCACGAGUUCCGCGCCGCAGCUAACGCAUUAAGUGCCCCGCCUGGGGAGUACGGCCGCAAGGCUAAAACUCAAAGGAAUUGACGGGGGCCCGCACAAGCGGCGGAGCAUGCGGAUUAAUUCGAUGCAACGCGAAGAACCUUACCAAGGCUUGACAUACACCGGAAUCAUGCAGAGAUGUGUGCGUCUUCGGACUGGUGUACAGGUGGUGCAUGGUUGUCGUCAGCUCGUGUCGUGAGAUGUUGGGUUAAGUCCCGCAACGAGCGCAACCCUCGUCCUAUGUUGCCAGCACGUCAUGGUGGGGACUCAUAGGAGACUGCCGGGGUCAACUCGGAGGAAGGUGGGGAUGACGUCAAAUCAUCAUGCCCCUUAUGUCUUGGGCUUCACGCAUGCUACAAUGGCCGGUACAAAGGGCUGCGAUACCGCGAGGUGGAGCGAAUCCCAAAAAGCCG
RNAcentral lists this ribosomal RNA (1199 nucleotides) under Sanguibacter sp. RNAcentral describes it as "bacterial SSU rRNA". It matches the Rfam family "Bacterial small subunit ribosomal RNA", at positions 70 to 1284 of the family's 1533-position model. Lineage: Bacteria; Bacillati; Actinomycetota; Actinomycetes; Micrococcales; Sanguibacteraceae. The record is from RNAcentral.